Molecule: ribosomal RNA, 425 nt
Filed under: uncultured bacterium
Lineage: Bacteria
Description: partial 16S ribosomal RNA
Rfam family: Bacterial small subunit ribosomal RNA
Source: RNAcentral
GUGGGGAAUAUUGGACAAUGGGCGCAAGCCUGAUCCAGCCAUGCCGCGUGAGUGAUGAAGGCCCUAGGGUUGUAAAGCUCUUUCACCGGAGAAGAUAAUGACGGUAUCCGGAGAAGAAGCCCCGGCUAACUUCGUGCCAGCAGCCGCGGUAAUACGAAGGGGGCUAGCGUUGUUCGGAAUUACUGGGCGUAAAGCGCACGUAGGCGGACAUUUAAGUCAGGGGUGAAAUCCCGGGGCUCAACCCCGGAACUGCCUUUGAUACUGGGUGUCUGGAGUAUGGAAGAGGUAAGUGGAAUUCCGGGUGUAGAGGUGAAAUUCGUAGAUAUUCGGAGGAACACCAGUGGCGAAGGCGGCUUACUGGUCCAUUACUGACGCUGAGGUGCGAAAGCGUGGGGAGCAAACAGGAUUAGAAACCCGAGUAGUCC